AACGAACGCUGGCGGCAUGCCUAACACAUGCAAGUCGAACGAGACCUUCGGGUCUAGUGGCGCACGGGUGCGUAACGCGUGGGAACCUGCCCUUAGGUUCGGAAGAACUCCCCGAAAGGGGUGCUAAUACCGGAUAAUGUCUUCGGACCAAAGAUUUAUCGCCUUUGGAUGGGCCCGCGUUGGAUUAGCUAGUUGGUAGGGUAAAAGCGUACCAAGGCGACGAUCCAUAGCUGGUCUAAGAGGAUGAUCAGCCACACUGGGACGGAGACACGGUGCAGACGACUGGAGGACGAGCGAGUGGGGGAUACAGGCAAGUGGGGGGUGUGAAGAAGGACUUAGGACUCGUAAGUAAUGAACGAUGGGAGGUAGUACAGUAAUUUAACACCUGACUGUUAUGACGAUACCAACAGAAUAAGCUCCGGCUAACUCCGUG
RNAcentral lists this ribosomal RNA (433 nucleotides) under uncultured bacterium. RNAcentral's name for it is "partial 16S ribosomal RNA". It matches the Rfam family "Bacterial small subunit ribosomal RNA", at positions 29 to 507 of the family's 1533-position model. The record is from RNAcentral.